GGCUUGGGUGGUACGGGCUUCUUGUGGAAGUGGUCAAAGAAGUCCUUCUCCUUCUUGUGGAAGUGGUCGAGGAUGGGGUGCUCUGGCUCUGGCUUCGGCUUGGGCGGCUCUGGCUUGGGAUCCGGCUUCGGUGGCACCGGCUUCUUAUGGAAGUGGUCGAUGAUCUUCUUCUUGAUGGGGCCGCAGAUGGUCGCCGACGCACACAAAGCCGACGGAUAGCUGGUCUUGCCAGCGACGGUGACAAAGGUGCCCUCCGACAAUGGCACGAUCUUGGAUGGCUCUUGUCCGGGGCAUGGCUCGUUGGUCGCGCCAUGGAGCUGUGCGACGCAGUCGGAGCUGUGGAGGUCGGCGUCGAGGGGGAUGCUGAAGACGCCGGUACCGUCGAGCUUUCCGGUGGCCUUGCUCUCGUACUCACCAUUGCCGUUC
Molecule: unclassified non-coding RNA, 426 nt
Filed under: Hevea brasiliensis (rubber tree)
Lineage: Eukaryota; Viridiplantae; Streptophyta; Magnoliopsida; Malpighiales; Euphorbiaceae
Source: RNAcentral